AGAAUCAACGCUGGCGGCGUGCCUAACACAUGCAAGUCGAACGAGAAAGUGGAGCAAUCCAUGAGUAAAGUGGCGCACGGGUGAGUAACACGUGACUAACCUACCCUUGAGUGGGGAAUAACCUCGGGAAACCGGGGCUAAUACCGCAUAACACCUACGGGUCAAAGGAGCAAUUCGCUUAAGGAGGGGGUCGCGGCAGAUUAGUUAGUUGGCGGGGUAAUGGCCCACCAAGACGGUGAUCUGUAUCCGGCCUGAGAGGGCGCACGGACACACUGGAACUGAAACACGGUCCAGACUCCUACGGGAGGCAGCAGUGGGGAAUUUUGCGCAAUGGGGGAAACCCUGACGCAGCAACGCCGCGUGGAGGAUGAAGUCCCUUGGGACGUAAACUCCUUUCGAUCGGGACGAUUAUGACGGUACCGGAAGAAGAAGCCCCGGCUAACUUCGUGCCAGCAGCCGC
This 460-nucleotide ribosomal RNA is filed under the name uncultured bacterium. RNAcentral's name for it is "SSU rRNA". It matches the Rfam family "Bacterial small subunit ribosomal RNA", at positions 26 to 518 of the family's 1533-position model. The record is from RNAcentral.